RNAcentral lists this long non-coding RNA (775 nucleotides) under Chinchilla lanigera (long-tailed chinchilla). RNAcentral describes it as "lncRNA (ENSCLAG00000027486.1)". The record is from RNAcentral. Lineage: Eukaryota; Metazoa; Chordata; Mammalia; Rodentia; Chinchillidae.
CGUCGUUUGAGGCACAUAGUCUUCAGCAUUUGUGAUGACAGCACUAGCAGACUGACACAGAUGAUGGAGAAUGUGGCUCCAGCAACUUUGGAGGCACUGAGGGGUCAGCCAGCUCCUAAAGGAGACCACUGGAGAGGAACCAGGAGAGCAGAGACCCUUCCUCAUGGCCUGGUGGACUUGUGGGAUGGGACAUCUGGCCACAUACAAAUGACACUUAAGGCCUGGCCCGGAGGAAAGUGCUUGUGAGGGCCCAUCAGUAAGACGGGACAAGAAGAAACUGAACCCUCCUCUUGUGCUCAAGAAAAAAGAGAAGCCAGAAGAACAGACCUGAGAGGCCAGACUGAACAAGACCAGGGGACUUCUGAUCCUGUGUAGCCUGAGGCUCCUCAGGACCAGUGUGAGUGAAACCUGCCUCGCACUCAGUGCUUUGGAUCACUUGAUAGUACAAUCAGCCAAGGGGUCAGACUGGAUACCCUUAGAAACAACCUUUCUAAGGUGAGUCACUCAGGAAAGAUGAAAGCUGAGGAGAAAGAAGAGGGGAAAGAGGGAGAGGAAAAAGAAAGGAAAGCAGAAGUGGGAUCCCAGGGAAAGAUGCAGGAUACCCAUCUUCACAGUUGAUCCCUCCUCGGAGUUCCUGACCAGGAUGAUGUAAAGAGCGGGACUGCGCGGUGCGCUUGGUGAAGAGACUGUUACACUUUGACACAAACGUCUCUCUAUAAAUAAAUACAUGAACACCUAAAGUAGGAAACAGGAAUAAUUAAAAGUGUUGCCCAUA